UACGUAGGUGGCAAGCGUUGUCCGGAGUUAUUGGGCGUAAAGCGCGCGCAGGCGGUGCGGUAAGUCUCUGGUGAAAGCGCUCGGCUUAACUGGGGGAGGGCCGGGGAGACUGCCACGCUGGAGGGGAGCAGAGGCGAGUGGAAUUCCGGGUGUAGUGGUGAAAUGCGUAGAGAUCCGGAGGAACACCAGUGGCGAAGGCGGCUCGCUGGGCUCUACCUGACGCUGAGGCGCGAAAGCGUGGGGAGCGAACCGG
RNAcentral lists this ribosomal RNA (253 nucleotides) under uncultured bacterium. RNAcentral's name for it is "partial 16S ribosomal RNA". It matches the Rfam family "Bacterial small subunit ribosomal RNA", at positions 524 to 776 of the family's 1533-position model. The record is from RNAcentral.